AUGGCUUUGUUUCCCUGUGGGCGCUCUGGCCCGUGCCACGGUCCCCCACACCUUCCCCGGCGCCUGGGUCUGCUGCUGCACCUUGCUCCGUCCUCUAGCCGACCCUGCACCGUCUGUGCCUAUCCUUGCCACAUCCUCUUCCUGGAGAGGUUUUUCCAGAGAAGAGGAAGAGAGAGGGGAUCUUUCAUCCGCUGGUUCACUCCACAAAUGGCUGCAACAGCAGGGGCUGGGCCAGGCCAAAGCCAAGGGGCAGGAUCUCCGUCACCCGCUUGGGUGGCAGGGCCCAGGCACGUGGGCCGUCUGCUGCUGCUGCUGUGCCAGGCGCGUCGGAAGCUGGUCACGGCAGAGCAGCGGGGACUCGAGCAGGGCUUGACGGGGGAUGCUGGUGUCCUGGGUGGUGGCUUAACUGGCUGCGCCGGCCCAGGACAAUUGCUUUCGGCUCUUCCAAAGCAGUUGGUAAUGCUGCCGAGGAUCUUGAUUGAUGGUAACAGGAUUGCCGUGAGUUGGUUUCCUGUAGACCCAGGGGACACGCCGGGUGUGGGGCGAAGGCGGGCACGUGGGAAGGGCGGGAGGUGCAGGGGCUUGGUCCAAGGGGGACACAGCUCUGCAGUGAGCUGCUGCCUUGGACACUGUUGCGGAGGAUGGCGAGCCAAGGCCUGCCCUGGGAGGGGCGGGAGGGCCAGGCCGGAGGCAGGGGCGGGGCAGAGGGGACUUGGGGGUGGGGGGAUCUGGUUUCCAAGCCUUGGAGGGAACGUCACUGACAGGCACAACCCAGGUCUGAUUCAUCCCCCUGCAGACGGCGAGACCCCUACGCCGCCCCGGCCUGCAAGCCAGGGGGAUCUGAGGCUCUGCGGGUCACCAUCCGCCACACGUGUCCCUCAGUGUCCUUGUCUGCCAGGGCUUUGGGGCUGCUUGGAGGCCCAGGCUGUGUCCAGGGCGACUCAGUGGCAGAGGCCAGAGGUCUCUCUCCCUGGGGUGACGGUGGCUUCCCAUCACACUCAGGCACCUCCAGAGACCGAGCCGAUGGACAGACAUGGCCAGGCCCUGGCCGGGGGCGGCCUCCCCUGCCCCACACAGCUGCAUGUCUCCUUGGCAAGACGGGGAGGGCUGUAG
This 1113-nucleotide long non-coding RNA is filed under the name Oryctolagus cuniculus (rabbit). RNAcentral's name for it is "lncRNA (ENSOCUG00000039080.1)". The record is from RNAcentral. Lineage: Eukaryota; Metazoa; Chordata; Mammalia; Lagomorpha; Leporidae.